Molecule: long non-coding RNA, 1041 nt
Filed under: Pogonomyrmex barbatus (red harvester ant)
Lineage: Eukaryota; Metazoa; Arthropoda; Insecta; Hymenoptera; Formicidae
Description: uncharacterized LOC105433579, transcript variant X2
Source: RNAcentral
CGCGAAGUUAGCGCGAGUCAAACGAAGGCGCCAAUCGUCUCCGUGAUUAGAGAUGAAUUUUUAUUUGUGCUAAACGAACAUCGUGCGAGAAAGCGGUCAAUGUGAUCGCGCGAUGAACAACGAAAUGUCGCAUUCACGCGCGAACAUUGCUGCCUUCGGGGUGAUGCUUUUGCUGGGACGCGUCAAGACAAAAUCAAGAUCGAGCGCCGGUGUUAGGUUAUCCGCACCGGAGCGCGGCACAGUGAAGCUGUCCGAUUUAUGUCGAUUGCAUCGACUUCGAUAAUCGCAAUCAGUUCGAAAGUCGCGAUCGGCGCCAACGGUCGGUCAGUUUCUCGUCGCCGCCGUCGCCGUUGUCGCCGUCACCGCGUGAGAUCAGAUUCUUUUUUGGGAGUGAAAAGGAAAGUAAAUUUCGGGCUACCCGGCCAUUCGUGCUCGUGACGAUCAUCGUGAAAUUCACGCGCGCGAAAUCUCAAAAUCUGCGAGAUUGUCCCGAUACACGACGUCAUCGUGAUUGGGGACCGGCGUCGUCGAUCGACGUAAACAACGUGUCUCGCAUGACCGUUCUGACCUUACACUGAUUGCAUCUAACAGAGAGGUUUGUGUGAUUGCGUCAACUGUGUUAUAUCGAGUCUCUUAGGUGUGUCCUUCGUGUGCGGUAUUCUUGAGUGAUAUCGCCAAGGAGAAACGAACUAUGCUGACAAGUAAGUAGAUAUAUGCGAUGUCUUUUAACAAAUGCAGAUUGUCUUACCUUUAUUUUAUCGCUUCCCAUAUGGAACGACGAGUUUCUCCAGUUUCUUCCUUUUCGUCCUCAUCGUCUCGCCAAGCUGAGAGGGACCGACGCGAUCUUGAGCAUUGAUAUUCAGCGGAGUGUCUCGAUCGCAUCCUUUAACUAGCAUCUGCUUUAAUCUUCAGAUUACCGGCGAUAAAACGGUUCAUUUGCAUAUAAAAAAACUCAACGUUCUUUUCAUAAUGAAGCGAUUAAAAUAAUAGGUUUACUUAUUAACUUGUAAUGUAUAAAUAAUUAAUGUUCAUUAGAAAUUA